UGUAGGCUAUUGAAAUGAAACACACUGAUCUCAUGCAAAGAACCAUGCAGCUGGUACCAUGGGAGGAAGACAGUCAGAUCCUUUCUAAUGGAAAAAUGAAGUCAGACCAAGCUUGCCUCCCUUCUUUUGCAAAAUGUAAUUAUGUAAACUACAAAGCUCCAUUAUAGACAAUGUUUAUAAUUAGUACUAUUUUCCCCUUAAUUUUAAAUAAAGCGUGUUAGUUGUGAAUGUCAUGCCAACAUAUUUUCUACAGAUGCUAUAAACAAUGAACAAUCAGAAAUCCA
This 284-nucleotide long non-coding RNA is filed under the name Lynx pardinus (Iberian lynx). The record is from RNAcentral. Lineage: Eukaryota; Metazoa; Chordata; Mammalia; Carnivora; Felidae.